GCACCGGCUAACUACGUGCCAGCAGCCGCGGUAAUACGUAGGGUGCGAGCGUUAAUCGGAAUUACUGGGCGUAAAGCGGGCGCAGACGGUUACUUAAGCAGGAUGUGAAAUCCCCGGGCUCAACCUGGGAACUGCGUUCUGAACUGGGUAACUAGAGUGUGUCAGAGGGGGGUAGAAUUCCACGUGUAGCAGUGAAAUGCGUAGAGAUGUGGAGGAAUACCGAUGGCGAAGGCAGCCCCCUGGGAUAACACUGACGUUCAAGCCCGAAAGCGUGGGGAGCAAACAGGAUUAGAUACCCUGGUAGUCCACGCCCUAAACGAUGUCAAUUAGCUGUUGGGGCACUUGAUGCCUUAGUAGCGUAGCUAACGCGUGAAAUUGACCGCCUGGGGAGUACGGUCGCA
RNAcentral lists this ribosomal RNA (401 nucleotides) under uncultured bacterium. Its description in RNAcentral is "bacterial SSU rRNA". It matches the Rfam family "Bacterial small subunit ribosomal RNA", at positions 490 to 890 of the family's 1533-position model. The record is from RNAcentral.